GCUUGAAGCCAGUGACAAUGUCGGCCGCGAACUCGCUUCGGCUGCUCAGCCCUCUCAAGGCUGAAACAGGGGUUCGAUUCCCCUAGGGAGCGCCA
This 95-nucleotide transfer RNA is filed under the name Bradyrhizobium sp. CB1650. RNAcentral's name for it is "tRNA-Glu". The stretch from base 31 to 92 matches the Rfam family "tRNA". From Rfam's summary of the family: Transfer RNA (tRNA) molecules are approximately 80 nucleotides in length. Lineage: Bacteria; Pseudomonadati; Pseudomonadota; Alphaproteobacteria; Hyphomicrobiales; Nitrobacteraceae. The record is from RNAcentral.